CUGCGCUAGGUGGAGAGCUAGCGGUGCUCUGUACCUGCAAUCCGCUAUAGCAGGACCGAAUGCCCGCCUCGGCGGUCUUGUGGAAAGUCUGGCUUUGAUAAGGAAUGUUGAUAUUAAGGUCCCAUCCAAUAUAAAUCUGUGAACCAUGUCAGGACCGAAGGGGAGCAGCAUUAAGCAGACACUUAUAUGUGCCAUGGGGAAGCUUUGAAGGAGUCACCUGUUAAAGUUCCGUUUCGGCAAGACUGGUCAACGCGGGAUGCGCAG
This 264-nucleotide signal recognition particle RNA is filed under the name Clostridiales bacterium. RNAcentral's name for it is "signal recognition particle sRNA large type". It matches the Rfam family "Bacterial large signal recognition particle RNA". Rfam says of the family: The signal recognition particle (SRP) is a universally conserved ribonucleoprotein involved in the co-translational targeting of proteins to membranes. Archaeal SRP consists of a 7S RNA and homologues of the eukaryotic SRP19 and SRP54 proteins. Lineage: Bacteria; Bacillati; Bacillota; Clostridia; Eubacteriales. The record is from RNAcentral.